Picea glauca (white spruce) is the source of this 45-nucleotide non-coding RNA. Lineage: Eukaryota; Viridiplantae; Streptophyta; Pinopsida; Pinales; Pinaceae. The record is from Rfam.
AAAAUGGUGUCUUUAGACACCACCAAUCUUCUUGGAGUAUUAUUU